CCGGCACGGGUGAGUAACACGUAUCCAACCUGCCGUCUACUCUUGGCCAGCCUUCUGAAGGAAGAUAAUCCAGGAUGGCAUCAUGAGUUCACAUGUCCGCAUGAUUAAAGGUAUUUUCCGGUAGACGAUGGGGAUGCGUUCCAUUAGAUAGUAGGCGGGGUAACGGCCCACCUAGUCAACGAUGGAUAGGGGUUCUGAGAGGAAGGUCCCCCACAUUGGAACUGAGACACGGUCCAA
RNAcentral lists this ribosomal RNA (237 nucleotides) under uncultured bacterium. RNAcentral's name for it is "partial 16S ribosomal RNA". It matches the Rfam family "Bacterial small subunit ribosomal RNA", at positions 100 to 334 of the family's 1533-position model. The record is from RNAcentral.